CCUCUGAAAUAUCAUGAUCCUCUAGGCCUAAUUUCAGGGAAAUAUCUGAAAAAAUGGAGCCACGUUGAAGCUUCUUCCUCCUCUCAUAGUGACAUACUUCAUAAAGGAGGAGGCAGAGGGAGCAGCUAGCAGUGUGACGGUGAAUGAUGGAAAGAGAAGGGGGCCACCAGAGAUGGUGGUCCCAAGCCAUGUAGGUCCACCGGUGAUGGAAAGAUCUGAGUCGACGACAUGGUGGUGUCCCGCCAUGAAAAGAUAGUCUGGCAACUCAAAUUAUCAUAGAAUUGAAUAAAUUGUAAUCAUAACCAUCGCCAUUGUACUGAGAUACUUCUCACCACAUGUAAAUGGGCGAGGAAGCUGUUAAAAGCUUUAAUGAUUUUAGCCUUUUCCGUUGGAACCUUGUUCCACAAAGCAAAAGAUGUAUUUACUAAAUGGAAAAUCGUGUGUCUGUCCAUAUUCGGUCUGGCUUACCUAACACAUGAAGCUUGUUUGUGUGGAUGGUCUAAAAAGAGUUGGUCGUUCCCUACUCUCGGGGGUUGUAAACGUCUGGUCUGGUAACUAAACGUCACCUUAGAGUGAAUAUCUUAACGAAGUUGUUCAUUUAAA
Mangifera indica (mango) is the source of this 603-nucleotide long non-coding RNA. RefSeq lists it as uncharacterized. The transcript is spliced from 2 exons. NCBI's taxonomy places the organism in Eukaryota, Viridiplantae, Streptophyta, Magnoliopsida, Sapindales, Anacardiaceae. The record is from RefSeq and is a predicted model, not a curated record.